Molecule: long non-coding RNA, 1184 nt
Organism: Zingiber officinale
Lineage: Eukaryota; Viridiplantae; Streptophyta; Magnoliopsida; Zingiberales; Zingiberaceae
Exons: 6
Source: RefSeq, a predicted model, not a curated record
ACACGCGCAUAGUGCCCUUCUUCUCACCCUGUCGGCUCGCGUUUCUUCUUCCAGCAGCUAGGGCGUGACAACUCUCCUCACCAGCGCAUCUUCUUCCUUCCUCACAACCGGCCGGCGGCUUCUUCAUCUUCCCUUUCCUCGUCGCCGGCCGGACCUCCACAGCCCACUUCCUCUUCUAGAUUUCCAGUGGCGACGGCAUAGGCGAACACAGCAGGGAGCAGCAGGCGACCGCGGCGAUUCCGACCAACUCCACCUCACCGGAGGGGUUCUCCGGUGAGAUCCUUCACCUCCUGACGUUCUUCCUUCACUCUUACCUUCUGGGGUUCAGUUGGCAGCAAGAAGAAGGCGGCACGGUAAGAUCUCCAUGACAGUCCGGUCAACUUCCAUCUGAGGGGGGUUCCUCGGUGGAAGAUUCGCAUCAUCUUCAUUGUCUAAGCAAGCAGCAACCGGCAGUGAGCUUCUGUCCACCGACUUUGGGGGUUCCGAGCCGGGUCUUCAUGUGACGACGAGGGUAGUAGUUGGAAUCGGAAGCGGAAGUGUGAAUUAUGAACCCUCCCAAGCUGGCUACUCCUCUAUUUGAUACUAAAAUGCCAGAGGACCCUAAGAUGGCAUACACACAGACCUAGAUAAUCUUCAAAUGGUGUUUUGAACGAAGAGUAGUGUUUGGUCUUGCGUUGUGAUGACGUCUGAGUGUUGGCUUGGUCUCUGUUGGCUUGCUACAUAUCUAGAAAGCUCCAUGAUUUGUGCUAAGCUGAAGCGUAUCCAAUUUGGAUUUUCCAGCUCAAAAUAUCAGUAGAUUUGUUGUGGUAGUGCCUUAACAGGAUUUGAGGCUUCUCCAUUCAGGAAAAGACAAGUUCGGUAGAUACAAAAAUUAUAAGAUCACAAGUUUGGAUUGAAGGUCACAAGAAAAAAAAUGGGAAGCCUAGUACUCAAGCUGUUGGAGAGAAAAUAGUGGACCUAAUUCGACCAAAUGAUGAAAUGCAGUUUCUUGAUGAUGCAAUAGAAAGAACGGUCACAUGGUUAUCUAUAUUUAUAAUAUUGUGUGAUUGAUAUAUAUUAUACUAAUUUGUUUGGAUUGUAAGUUGAAUUGUUGUUAUGUAAUUGUUAGUUUGUUAGAUAUUUCGUAUAUUGUUUUAGAUGUUUUGAGUUUUUGUGGUAUAAUGAAAAACUAUGACUUUUAUUAA